GAUGAAGAACGUAGCGAAAUGCGAUACUUGGUGUGAAUUGCAGAAUCCCGUGAACCAUCGAGCCUUUGAACGCAAGUUGCGCCUCAAGCCAUUAGGUUGAGGGCACGUCUGCCUGGGCGUCACAUAUCGUUGCCUGAUGCCAGUUUCCUCGUGAUGGGUGACUGUGCAGGGCGAAUGAUGGCUUCCCGUGAGCAUUGUUGCCUCAUGGUUGGUUGAAAAUUGAGUCCUUGGUAGGGAGCGCCGUGAUAGAUGGUGGUUGAGUGACGAACGAGACCCAAUCAUGUGAGACCCCUACCGAAUUUGGCCUUCAUGACCCACAUGCGUCUUUGGAACGCUCAUGACGAGACCUCAGGUCAGGCGGGGCUACCCGCUGAGUUUAAGCAUAUCAAUAAGCGGAGGA
Molecule: unclassified non-coding RNA, 400 nt
Filed under: soil metagenome
Description: partial contains 5.8S ribosomal RNA, internal transcribed spacer 2, and large subunit ribosomal RNA
Rfam family: 5.8S ribosomal RNA (bases 1-122)
Source: RNAcentral